Molecule: unclassified non-coding RNA, 273 nt
Filed under: Hevea brasiliensis (rubber tree)
Lineage: Eukaryota; Viridiplantae; Streptophyta; Magnoliopsida; Malpighiales; Euphorbiaceae
Source: RNAcentral
AAAGCUCUCUAUAUUGUUUGCCCUGAGAUCCAGAUGUUUCAAGUUGCUCAAAGCAAUUAUAUCAUUCAUUUCGAUAUUUCCAUUUAUUUCAUUGGCAGCGAGAUUGAGAUGCUUGAGAGACGGAAAAAUCUUGAGCGAUGAAAAGAUGGUGGAAUUGAAGUUAUUAUCAUUCAAAUUGAGUUUCUCUAAAUUCCUCAGUCUACCCAAUGCAGAAAGGAUAUUUAUGUCAUCAAUUCCAUAACCUUCAAACCAAAGUUCUCUUAAAUUGCUUAG